RNAcentral lists this unclassified non-coding RNA (375 nucleotides) under uncultured Actinomycetes bacterium. Its description in RNAcentral is "uncultured actinobacterium contains 16S-23S intergenic spacer region". Lineage: Bacteria; Bacillati; Actinomycetota; Actinomycetes. The record is from RNAcentral.
UCCGAGUUGACCCCGACAGUCUUCGAUGAGUCCCCGCCAUAACGCGCUGGCAACAUAGGACGAGGGUUGCGCUCGUUGCGGGACUUAACCCAACAUCUCACGACACGAGCUGACGACAACCAUGCACCACCUGUACACCCCCAAAAGAAGCCCCAUCUCUGAGGCGGCAGGGUGUAUGUCAAACCCAGGUAAGGUUCUUCGCGUUGCAUCGAAUUAAUCCGCAUGCUCCGCCGCUUGUGCGGGCCCCCGUCAAUUCCUUUGAGUUUUAGCCUUGCGGCCGUACUCCCCAGGCGGGGCGCUUAAUGCGUUAGCUACGGCACGGAACCCGUCUAUAGGGUCCCACACCUAGUGCCCAACGUUUACGGCGUGGACUAC